CCUUCUGCCCAUUUCAGGGCGGGAACUCUCAAAUCCCCCCUUCAGAUGGCAUCCCAAACCUUAGAUUCUCCAAUCAUAGAGACUACCUUCUUGUCUCAUCUUGGGACAAGAGCAUCCGAAUAUGCAAUGCGAGUGCAAAUGUGCUGAGAGGCAAGUUCUUGCACAGCGGCCUAGUCCCCGAUUGCUGCUUCCAUGACGAUGCCUCUGGAUUCAGUGCAAGUGCAGAUCACACUCGCAGCUAGUUAAAGCUGAAAAGAUUGUCCCCUUCAAGACCAUUUCAUUUCUUUCCAAGACCUGAAAUAUGAGCUUAAAGAUGAGCAUCAAGUUAGAUUUUCAUGAAGAACAUUACAUUGACCAUCUAUCCUAAGUCUUUUUCUACUUUGAUUACAUGCAGACAUUAUUUUUAUAUAUUAUAAUGAAAUAUUUGAAUACAAUUUGAUACAAAUUUUAUAAUUUAUUUUUAUUCCAUCUUAGUUGCUCCUUAUGAUGUGUGCUAAAAUUGCAUUUUUUCAUUUUCUUUGACAGUCUUUUUUAUUAUUCUGGGUUCUCGAUGAUACAUCCUUGUAGAAUUUGUUGAAGUCGCUGAGUGGCUCCUCAAAUUCAGAGCAACAUCUUGUGAUGGUUUGAGUGAUCCCAGUGAUGUUUUUCAUUAUCUUCUUCUCAUAUGGUGGACUAACACACAGAAUGCUAUGAAAUAGGGGAUACUGGAGAUGCUGAAGUAUUGGAUAGGACCCGUUUCAGGGUUACUCUGCAACCCCAAACAAUGGCUUUUGAUAACUUGAUAGGAUAGUAUUCAUUAGCUGAUUCUCUCUCUUUUAUAUUUUUUAGCUGACAUGGUUAUUUUUUCUUUUAUGUUCUUGUGGCUUAAAUCGAUGAUGCAGGAGAUGAAAUGACUGAUGUUUAUUUCAGAGUUACUCUGCAAACCCGAACAAUGGCUUUUGAUAACUUGAUAGGAUUGUAUUCAUUAGCUGAUUCUCUCUCUUUUAUGUUUUUUAGUUGACAUGAUUUUUUUUCUUUUAUAUUCUUAUGGCUUAAAUCGAUGAUGCAGGAGAUGAAAUGACUGAUGUUUAUUUCAGGGUUACUCCGCAACCUCGAACAAUGGCUUUUGAUUACUUGAUAGGAUUGUAUUCAUUAGCUGAUUCUCUCUCUUUUAUAAUUUUUAGUUGGCAUGGUUAUUUUUUCUUUUAUAUUCUUAUGGCUUAAAUCGAUGAUGCAGGAGAUGAAAUGACUGAUGUUUUUUGGGAAAUCAAUCAAGGAUAAGGUUGGUGCACUAAUGCUUGCUGAUAAUGGCAUAUGUUACUAACUACUUAUUGUAACUGAAAAUGAAUGUACAAUCUAUUGCAUCCUGUUUUCGUUGGGGUUAGUAUGUACAGAAACACGUCCCUGAGUUUGUAAGUUUAAGAGUGUAAUAGUAGUAUGAUAUGGAGUCCCAUCUGGAAACACAGUUUCUCAACAUGCAAUCCCGAAUUAGCAUUUCCAUGAAACACCAUAUGCUCCAAUCUCCUUGGGUCCGUUAUGUGUUUCAGUAAAUGGUUGAGCUUUUUGGAAUAUGCACAGAGAAAAAAGAAAAGAAAAGAAAAAACUAAAAACCCCAAUCCAAUCAAUUUCAUGUUGAUACCUAUUGUUAGUUUAUUGAAUUUGAACUCAUGUGGAUGUGUAGGUAUAUUGGCUUCAAUUUGGAAGAUAUUUUGCCCGAUGACCUGUUGGAAGGGAUGAAUAUGCGUUGGAAUGGCCAUGGGUGAUGAAUAAUGCAUGAAGUGAGGAUUCUUCUUCAACUGCGGGGCAAUCCACUUUGGUUGAGCAGGAUUUGGAGCUCUUCAAUUGAAGCAUAUGGAUUUCAUUUUACCAAUCUUUGUCCAAGGGACAAAAACUGGGGAUCAUGAAAGUUGAAUCCUCAAUGUUGUAUUCUGCUGGCAACCUGUUUCAAAAUCUCAAAGCUCAGUUGUUUUACAGAUUUCAAUCUGCUCAAAAUAUUCAUUACAGGGUCAGCCCAAGCAACAUCUUCUUACAACUGGAUGGAGUGUGUAAGUGCAAAGAGGCUUGUUGCCGGUGAUUUGGUCCUUUUCAUCUGGACUGAACCAAGUUAUUAGUGGUCUUCCACUAAAGGAAUGGCCUUUAACCGCAUUGAUCAGUUGUGCUCAAAUUUAAGCCCACAAGCACAGAAGCCUUUUCUACAUACAUCAAUCUAGUUUCAGCUUUUGACGCCACUCGCAUUAGGGGCUGGAUGAAGGGAUUUU
Long non-coding RNA from Magnolia sinica, 2237 nucleotides. RefSeq lists it as uncharacterized. The record is from RefSeq and is a predicted model, not a curated record. NCBI's taxonomy places the organism in Eukaryota, Viridiplantae, Streptophyta, Magnoliopsida, Magnoliales, Magnoliaceae. The transcript is spliced from 10 exons.